Molecule: long non-coding RNA, 1090 nt
Filed under: Anolis carolinensis (green anole)
Lineage: Eukaryota; Metazoa; Chordata; Lepidosauria; Squamata; Anolidae
Description: lncRNA (ENSACAG00000045318.1)
Source: RNAcentral
AUGCCCAUCUAUCAGGAGUGCUUUGAUUGUAUGUUCCUGCAUGGUAGGGGGUUGGACUGGAUAGUCUUUGAGGGGUCACUCCAAACCUUAGGAUUGUAUGAUGAUGUUGUUGUUAUUAUUAUUAUUAUUAUUAUUAGUAUUAGUAUUGAAAGGCUGGGUGGUCAUCUGUUGGGAGUGCUUGGAUUGUGUCCUGCAUGGCAGAAUUGGGUUGACUGGAUGGCCUUUAGGGGUGUCUCCUAACUGUCUGAUACUAUGAUUCGAUGUGUAUUAUUAUUGUGCAGAUAUUGGAUGGCCAUCUGUCAGGAGUGGUUGGAUUGUGUCCUCCUGCAUGAUAUAAGGAAGUUGAACUGGAUGAUCCUUAGGGGUAUCUGCUAACCUUAGGAUUGUAUGAUAUUCUUAUUCUUAUUCUUAUUAUUAUUGAGAGGCUGGCUGGCCAUCUGUUGGACGUGCUUGGAUUGUGUCUUCUAUGGCAGAAUUGGGUUGGACUGGAUUACCACAGUAAUUAUUUCAUAUUACAGUAGAAUCCCACUUAUCCAACAUUCGCUUUUCCAGUGUUCUGGAUUAUCCAACACAGUCUGCCUUUUAGUAGUCAAUGUUAUUGUAGUCAAUGUUUUAAAUUCAUUGUGAUAUUUUGGUGCUAAAUUUGUAAAUACAGUAAUUACAACAUAGCAUUACUGAGCAUUGAACUACUUUUUCUGUCAAAUUUGUUGUAUAAUUUGUAUAAUCAUUACCUAAUUUGAUGUUUAAUCGGCUUUUCCUGAAUCCCUUCUUAUUAUCCAACAUAUUCACUUAUCCAACGUUCUGCCGGCCUGUUUAUGUUGGAUAAGUGAGACUCUACUGUAUAUUUAUAAUCUUCUAUUAUCUGCUUAGAAGUGGAUUAUAUGAGGCCCCUUCUACACAGCUGUAUAAAAUGCACACUGAAGUGAAUUUUCUGGCAGUGUGGACUCAAGAUAAUCCAGUUCAAAGCAGAUAAUAUAAGAUUAUAAAUGGGUAAUAUAGCUGUGUGGAAGGGCUUUGAGUCUACACUGCCAUAUAUUAUUGACAUUUAUUUCCAUCUACAUGGAGGCAAAAAAAAGUUUUAAAUUAAAUU